GCCCAUGCACAAUUUAGCUUGGGAAGUCUUCACGGUCCAAGCAGAAGGAGCACACGUCCACGUGAAAUUUGAUGGGCUGAAUCAUCCAGCUAAAAGCUCCAACGGGGUACACACAACAUGUCUCGACCUGGUCCAGCAUUGUAGCUGCUGAUUCAAUUUGGGCUUGGAGCUGCCACGGCCUGGUCUAGGAGCAACACAACAGCUGCCACCGAAAAGAAAGGUCCAGCAGUUUUAGCCCACAGUGCAGCAGCUUUGAAGGAGGGUCCAAAAUCUUCACGUUUGCAGCACUCCAUCAUCCAACAGCCUUGGCCCAACUUCCAUGAACAUUCACUUAUUUGCUUAGAUGAAACGGGAAAGAAGUCACACACGGACGGUAAAUAUACAGCAGCAAAGCAUACAACAAGGUCCAACAAGAGAAAGCUGGCAGCAAGGCCCUUGAGCAGAAAAAGUUUGGAGACGUCCAGCCUUCACAGGGCAGUAGCGGCCCAUGGGAAACCACUUCAAGUCCAACACAUGAAGGAGUGUCUAGUGUGAGGUUCAGCAAGCAAUGUCUUCAUCCAUCAAUGUCCAGCAGGAUUUAGGAGAUGCAACACGGCCCAACUUCAUGCUCACAUGUAGCAACAACAGCUGAUCAUGGGAGGUUCAUCUAGCAUAUCUCCACGUCCAAUAGCAACAGAAGCUUUUAUUUACAUGACCAUCAGCUGCAGCCUCUUCACGCGUCCAUCAACUUCUGAAGCCUAAGCAUUAACCUUGUCCAGAUCAUCACGGUUUUAUUGGAGACACAAAACCCUAGGUGGAGAUAUUCCCUAAAGAGCCGACACUGUUACGUUGAGAAAAAGAAGGAGGAAGCUUUUAUUUUUUUGGGAGCUGCCAUGGAGGGAGACAAGCACACAGUUGCAGUUUGGUUAUGGAAGGAGAUAUAACUUGAUUUUAAUCCUUAAUGCACUUUUGGUCCAGAGUUUAUUUUUUAUCCAGCCAACACUUGAUUUCUCUUAGGGUCUCGGGAAGUAUGGUGUUUCGGUGGGUUUCUUUUCUUUUUAUUUGGUGUUUUGCUGUAACAAUUUUGGAUGCAGUAGUUCACGUGCAAGUGCAUUGAGAGCAUACGAAGAUUCACUCUCCUUUAUCAUAUUGGGUCAUACAAUAUUUAUCAUGCAAUUUUCUUUUAUUUUUAAUACAAUCAGCCUUCCCAUUUUUCUUAGUUCAACCUCUGUUUUAUUUUAGAUCAAAGAAAAUGCAUUUGCUAAAUUGCCACUUGCUAUUUGUUCAAGCUUUCUUCUUUUCUGUUAGUACCAUUUCGACAAAGAAUUAUUUUUAAUGUCUAACUACUAGUUGCAUUUCAAUUGCUCAUAAUGC
Molecule: long non-coding RNA, 1353 nt
Filed under: Vigna radiata
Lineage: Eukaryota; Viridiplantae; Streptophyta; Magnoliopsida; Fabales; Fabaceae
Description: long non-coding RNA (VRAD_LNC010160)
Source: RNAcentral